UUUGUCUUUAUGGCAAAUGUGAGAUGCASUGUAUGGAAUGUCAAAUUUCUAGUAUGAGAAAUUAACGAUUUAAGUCCUUCUUAAAUGAGGCCAUUUACCCAUAGAGGGUGCCAGGCCCGUAUAACGUUAAUGAUUACUAGAUGGCAUUUCCAAAGAGUCGUGUUGCUUGAUAGUGCAGCACUAAGUGGGUGGUAAACUCCAUCUAAAACUAAAUAUAACCAUGAGACCGAUAGUAAACAAGUACCGUGAGGGAAAGUUGAAAAGAACUCUGAAUAGAGAGUUAAAUAGUACGUGAAACUGCUUAGAGGUUAAGCCCGAUGAACUUGAAUAUCCUUAUAGAAAAUUCAUCAUUAUGAUUUUAAUAUAUAUUAUAAUAAUAGUGUGCAUUUUUUCUAUAAGGACAUUGUAAUCUAUUAACAAUUUAUCAUAAGAUCAAGUUUAUUCAAAUUAUUUUGCUCAAUUUAACAUAGAAUAAAUGCUUAUGAUUUGAUAAAGUGUUGAUAGAUAUAGUGCUUAAAUUUUAUAAUAGUAUGUAUUAUAUGCACUUAUAUGAUUAACAAUGCGAAAGAUUCAGGAUACCUUCGGGACCCGUCUUGAAACACGGACCAAGGAGUCUAACAUAUUUGCAAGUUAUUGGGAAAAUAGCGAAAUUAACAUAACUUGGGAUUAGUUUUUUAAUUCAAUCCCGGGGCGUUCUAUACAGUUAUGUAUAAUAAUAUUAUAUUAUUUAUACCUCUAACUAGAGCGUACCUUGAGCAUAUAUGCUGUGACCCGAAAGAUGGUGAACUAUACUUGAUCAGGUUGAAGUCAGGGGAAACCCUGAUGGAAGACCGAAACAGUUCUGACGUGCAAAUCGAUUGUCAGAAUUGAGUAUAGGGGCGAAAGACCAAUCGAACCAUCUAGUAGCUGGUUCCCUCCGAAGUUUCCCUCAGGAUAGCUGGUGCAUUUAAAACUUAUGUAAAAUAAUCUUAUCUGGUAAAGCGAAUGAUUAGAGGCCUUAGGGUCGAAACGAUCUUAACCUAUUCUCAAACUUUAAAUGGGUAAGAACCUCACCUUUCUUGGUAUGAAGGUAGUGGUUGUGAUAUAAUGUGCCCAGUGGGCCACUUUUGGUAAGCAGAACUGGCGCUGUGGGAUGAACCAAACGUAAUGUUACGGUGCCCAAAUUAACAACUCAUGCAGAUACCAUGAAAGGCG
Molecule: ribosomal RNA, 1194 nt
Filed under: Pollenia pediculata
Lineage: Eukaryota; Metazoa; Arthropoda; Insecta; Diptera; Polleniidae
Description: eukaryotic LSU rRNA
Rfam family: Eukaryotic large subunit ribosomal RNA
Source: RNAcentral